This 497-nucleotide ribosomal RNA is filed under the name uncultured bacterium. Its description in RNAcentral is "partial 16S ribosomal RNA". It matches the Rfam family "Bacterial small subunit ribosomal RNA", at positions 28 to 507 of the family's 1533-position model. The record is from RNAcentral.
GAUGAACGCUGGCGGCGUGCCUAAUACAUGCAAGUCGAGCGAACAGAUGAGGAGCUUGCUCCUCUGACGUUAGCGGCGGACGGGUGAGUAACACGUGGAUAACCUACCUAUAAGACUGGGAUAACUUCGGGAAACCGGAGCUAAUACCGGAUAAUAUAUUGAACCGCAUGGUUCAAUAGUGAAAGACGGUUUUGCUGUCACUUAUAGAUGGAUCCGCGCCGCAUUAGCUAGUUGGUAAGGUAACGGCUUACCAAGGCAACGAUGCGUAGCCGACCUGAGAGGGUGGUCGGCCACACUGGAACUGAGACACGCUCCAGACGCCUACGGGAGGCAGCAGUAGGGAAUCUUCCGCAAUGGGCGAAAGCAUGACGGAGCAACGCCGCGUGAGUGAUGAAGGUCUUCGGAUCGUAAAACUGUGUUAUUAGGUAAGAACCAAUGUGUCAGUAACUAUGCACGUAUUGACGGUAACUAAUCAGAAAGCAACGGCUAACUACGUG